AGCAGCCGCGGUAAUUCCAGCUCCAAUAGCGUAUAUUAAAGUUGUUGCAGUUAAAAAGCUCGUAGUUGAAUUUCGGGAUUGACACAUCGGUCGUGCCUUAAGGGGUAUGGACUGGUGUAGUCAAUUUCUCACCUUCUGGAGAACCGCGAUGCCCUUAAUUGGGUGUCGCGGGGAACCAGGACCUUUACUUUGAAAAAUUAGAGUGUUUAAAGCAGGCAUUUUGCUUGAAUACAUUAGCAUGGAAUAAUAAAAUAGGACGGCAUGAUUCUAUUUUGUGGUUUCUAGGAUCACCGUAAUGAUUAAUAGGGAUAGUUGGGGGCAUUAGUAUUCAAUUGUCAGAGGUGAAAUUCUUGGAUUUAUUGAAGACUAACUACUGCGAAAGCAUUUGCCAAGGAUGUUUUCAUUAAUCAAGAACGAAAGUUAGGGGAUCGAAGACGAUCAGAUACCGUC
This 450-nucleotide ribosomal RNA is filed under the name uncultured Entrophospora. RNAcentral's name for it is "SSU rRNA". It matches the Rfam family "Eukaryotic small subunit ribosomal RNA", at positions 569 to 1019 of the family's 1831-position model. The record is from RNAcentral. Lineage: Eukaryota; Fungi; Glomeromycota; Glomeromycetes; Entrophosporales; Entrophosporaceae.